This 3238-nucleotide long non-coding RNA is filed under the name Olea europaea (common olive). RNAcentral's name for it is "long non-coding RNA (OEUR_LNC006891)". Lineage: Eukaryota; Viridiplantae; Streptophyta; Magnoliopsida; Lamiales; Oleaceae. The record is from RNAcentral.
GGGAGGCAUCUUGAUGAUACAUGGAUAGCAUAUAUAGGUGAUGACUUUAGGAGGACAUUGAAGUGGCAAAAGACAUACUCAGGCAUUCCAAGCGGGCGGUUUGGGCACUCAUGUGUCGUAAUUGGCGAUUCACUUAUCCUAUUUGGAGGGAUCAAUGACCACGGGAUUCGCCAGAAUGAUACUUGGGUAGGACAAGUUAUAUUGAAAGAAACACUUGGGGUUACUUUGUCUUGGAUUGGGGUAAUUCCGCUAUUGAUGCACUGAAAGCAUCAAGUUCCGUGCAGGGAAUUCAAUGGAAGAAGUUGUACCAGCAGGUUCAUCAGUUAGACUCUGUUUGUUGCCAUAAACUAUUGUUUGAAACCCCAGAUGGCGAUGAGGUUCUUCCGAGUCCUAGAGCUUCUCAUUCCCUCAAUUUUGUGAAUGGAUGCCUUGUUCUGUUUGGUGGGGGAUGUGAAGGAGGUCAGUCACUUUUUAUUUAUUUUAUUUGUUAUGCUUGUUGAAUUAUAUAUAUAGUUUUCGAUUCUCUUUCUCAGUAUACUUUAUGCUUGGCACCCUAAUCUUUAUUCUGAUUAUAUUCAUCUUUUCGAUGGACCCUCGUGUUAAUUGUUUUAAACAUCAUGCAGUUGGAAGUGUUUUAUUGCCUGAAUUGAAGUCAUUUGCUAAAUUUUAUUUGAUUGAAAAGGGAUUGAGGUUUCGAAUAUGAAAUUUCUGGUUGCUUCUGUGGACAAAUGAAGGAAAAAUGGACAGUAUACGUUCCAGCUGCUAGUUCUUAGGCAAAUACUCUUGGAAUUGUGCAAACAAUUACUAGUUCAUGUCCCAAAGAUAAAAUAGCAAGAAGAACUUUAUAGGAUUUAUGUAUUUUAGAGAUGUAAAGAUGCCCUCAAGUGAUUCAUUCAGUUAGUAUUUUAAGAUUACUAGUACACUGUAAACAUUGUGUUGGUGUCAUCUACAUCAUGUCCAAGCUGGAGUUUUAGAUGUAACACGAAGAGCUUCCAGUUGCCCCAGCAGUUCAAAUUCCAGUCUUUGCUUUCCAGAGUUGAUCCAACCAGCUACCUCAUCCUGCACACCAAAAAGAAAAAGUAAAGAAGGGGACACUGAAAAUGCCUGAAAAUUUAAAUAAACAAUAACUUCAAUGUAAGAUAAGAAGCAUGAGAGAUGAUGCGUAAAGUGUUUCUUGAGAAGGGAAAGAAUAUCCGUUGUCCAGGGAGCAUAAACGAUAGUAACAUGUUAACUUUUGUCAUGAUUACUGACAGCUGAUUUACUAACAGAUUGUUAUAACCAAGAAAGGAGCAAUUCAAUUGUAGUCUUCAAAAGUAUGCUGGAAGAAAAUUCUUCUUCUCUGAUGUGCAGUAGUGGGAUUUUUUCCCAUGCUUCAAUAAAGAUUUUUCCUUAUUUAUGAAGAAAAAAUUGGUCCUUUGAUCUUGUCGAUCCAUGCUCGAAAAUAGAGGUUCCAUGCAAGCUUCCUCAUUCUGUCCCGAUCGACUUGAUCAUCAUUUCCAACUAUAUAUAUAUAUAUUUUUUUUAUUUUUGUAGGAAUUUCUAGGUGUGAUGACAAAUCAACAGAUUAAUAAUCCAUACUUGCAUCAGUUGUGCACAUUGUGUUUCCAUUAAGUCAAGCUUGUGUUAAUGUGUCUAAGUGUUAACCCAUUGAAAUGAGCAGUGGCUAUGACAAGCACGUUUCUUUACCUCAUGCCAAUGUCUAAGUGAGGGUGUGCCUGUAAUGGCUGCAUCACAAUCAAACAGAAGAGAGGCAAUGGAGUUGUGUUGCGUGUGACAAUCUGAUGACAGUGCAUGGGAUGGGUAGAUUGCCCUAUAGGCUAUCAGAGCUGCAAGCAUGACAUGCAGGCAGCAUUCUUGCACAUGAUAGAGGGACUCAAGUUUCAGUGUGCAUAGAGGCAAGUUGGAGGAAGGUGAUGUGGACUCUUAGUUAGUGUGCAAAGUCAAGUAACGGUUGCACCUGAUGACUCUAAACUCACCAUGUUUUGGCGGUUGUGGGAAUUGAGUAAUAAAGCAGUUUCUGAGUGACAUAGGACAUGGCUAGUGGCCAAUGCUAGAAUUGGUUAGGACACCAGUUGGGGUGCCAACUUACACCUAUUUUCUAUACAUAGUGUUAAGCUGCUGAGGCACUAAACAAGAGAAGUGUUGUGCUAGCUAAGUUUUCCCUGAGAUUCAUUUGUUUGAGAGAUACAGUUGGGUGAUUCCCAUAAUUGCCAUGUUCUGUUCCUAGUGCCUUUGGUUGUGUGCCUUUGAAUUCCUCAGUCCAUCAGUGGGUGAAAAUUUGCUAUAGUCCUUACCCUGUGACAACAAGCAUUUCAUCUUGUUGGCACCCCGUCUUAGCUAGGUCCCUCCCUCCCGCAAUUCAAAUAAAUGGCUUCACUAUCCAGGGUUGCUUUAAUUAAUCUGCAUAUAAUCAUCACGCAAACAAUAGACUUCAUUUUAAUUAUUGUGAAGUCUAAUAGUCCAGAACUGUGAUAGCACCUCAUAUAUUAUAUUUUCUGCUUUGGAAAAAGCAUAAAUAGGACUUGUACUUCUAGUGGAAGUGAAAAAUAUUAGCUACGAGGAAAGGGAGAAGGGUCCCUGAAUAUCCAUUCCAACUAAAGGUGGUUUAUUAGCUGGGUAAACAUAUGCUGUCUCAAUUUAAUUAUCCAAUGAAUGUCUUUGUGCGUUAAUUAAUAAUGAUCAUCAAUAAUCUUUUGGCUUUGAUAAGUUCCAUAAAAAAUUGUAUAGGUAAAAAUUACAACAAAUGAAUUACAUCCUCCACUGUCAUCAAAUGAACCAUUGUCUAUCACUUCUGAUGAUUAUUUUAGUAAAUGAUUUCUCUUUCAUGUAGUAUCAUUUGAUAUAAGUUUAUCUGGCUCAAACUAACUUAAUUUUCUUAUUAUUUUGGUAUUGUCAUUUUUUGUUCUUUUCCUCUAGGGAGGCAUCUUGAUGAUACAUGGAUAGCAUAUAUAGGUGAUGACUUUAGGAGGACAUUGAAGUGGCAAAAGACAUACUCAGGCAUUCCAAGCGGGCGGUUUGGGCACUCAUGUGUCGUAAUUGGCGAUUCACUUAUCCUAUUUGGAGGGAUCAAUGACCACGGGAUUCGCCAAAAUGAUACUUGGGUAGGACAAGUUAUAUUGAAAGAAACACUUGGGGUUACUUUGUCUUGGAGGCUACUUGAUGUUGGUGCUGUUGCCCCUCCCCCGCGUGGAGCUCAUGCCGGAUGUUGCCUUGAUAACAAGAUGAUGCUUAUCCAUGG